RNAcentral lists this ribosomal RNA (2739 nucleotides) under Staphylococcus aureus F41882. RNAcentral describes it as "bacterial LSU rRNA". It matches the Rfam family "Bacterial large subunit ribosomal RNA". The record is from RNAcentral. Lineage: Bacteria; Bacillati; Bacillota; Bacilli; Caryophanales; Staphylococcaceae. RNAcentral also lists the same sequence under 14 other names.
ACCCGGAGAACUGAAACAUCUUAGUACCCGGAGGAAGAGAAAGAAAAUUCGAUUCCCUUAGUAGCGGCGAGCGAAACGGGAAGAGCCCAAACCAAAAAGCUUGCUUGUUGGGGUUGUAGGACACUCUAUACGGAGUUACAAAGGACGACAUUAGACGAAUCAUCUGGAAAGAUGAAUCAAAGAAGGUAAUAAUCCUGUAGUCGAAAAUGUUGUCUCUCUUGAGUGGAUCCUGAGUACGACGGAGCACGUGAAAUUCCGUCGGAAUCUGGGAGGACCAUCUCCUAAGGCUAAAUACUCUCUAGUGACCGAUAGUGAACCAGUACCGUGAGGGAAAGGUGAAAAGCACCCCGGAAGGGGAGUGAAAUAGAACCUGAAACCGUGUGCUUACAAGUAGUCAGAGCCCGUUAAUGGGUGAUGGCGUGCCUUUUGUAGAAUGAACCGGCGAGUUACGAUUUGAUGCAAGGUUAAGCAGUAAAUGUGGAGCCGUAGCGAAAGCGAGUCUGAAUAGGGCGUUUAGUAUUUGGUCGUAGACCCGAAACCAGGUGAUCUACCCUUGGUCAGGUUGAAGUUCAGGUAACACUGAAUGGAGGACCGAACCGACUUACGUUGAAAAGUGAGCGGAUGAACUGAGGGUAGCGGAGAAAUUCCAAUCGAACCUGGAGAUAGCUGGUUCUCUCCGAAAUAGCUUUAGGGCUAGCCUCAAGUGAUGAUUAUUGGAGGUAGAGCACUGUUUGGACGAGGGGCCCCUCUCGGGUUACCGAAUUCAGACAAACUCCGAAUGCCAAUUAAUUUAACUUGGGAGUCAGAACAUGGGUGAUAAGGUCCGUGUUCGAAAGGGAAACAGCCCAGACCACCAGCUAAGGUCCCAAAAUAUAUGUUAAGUGGAAAAGGAUGUGGCGUUGCCCAGACAACUAGGAUGUUGGCUUAGAAGCAGCCAUCAUUUAAAGAGUGCGUAAUAGCUCACUAGUCGAGUGACACUGCGCCGAAAAUGUACCGGGGCUAAACAUAUUACCGAAGCUGUGGAUUGUCCUUUGGACAAUGGUAGGAGAGCGUUCUAAGGGCGUUGAAGCAUGAUCGUAAGGACAUGUGGAGCGCUUAGAAGUGAGAAUGCCGGUGUGAGUAGCGAAAGACGGGUGAGAAUCCCGUCCACCGAUUGACUAAGGUUUCCAGAGGAAGGCUCGUCCGCUCUGGGUUAGUCGGGUCCUAAGCUGAGGCCGACAGGCGUAGGCGAUGGAUAACAGGUUGAUAUUCCUGUACCACCUAUAAUCGUUUUAAUCGAUGGGGGGACGCAGUAGGAUAGGCGAAGCGUGCGAUUGGAUUGCACGUCUAAGCAGUAAGGCUGAGUAUUAGGCAAAUCCGGUACUCGUUAAGGCUGAGCUGUGAUGGGGAGAAGACAUUGUGUCUUCGAGUCGUUGAUUUCACACUGCCGAGAAAAGCCUCUAGAUAGAAAAUAGGUGCCCGUACCGCAAACCGACACAGGUAGUCAAGAUGAGAAUUCUAAGGUGAGCGAGCGAACUCUCGUUAAGGAACUCGGCAAAAUGACCCCGUAACUUCGGGAGAAGGGGUGCUCUUUAGGGUUAACGCCCAGAAGAGCCGCAGUGAAUAGGCCCAAGCGACUGUUUAUCAAAAACACAGGUCUCUGCUAAACCGUAAGGUGAUGUAUAGGGGCUGACGCCUGCCCGGUGCUGGAAGGUUAAGAGGAGUGGUUAGCUUCUGCGAAGCUACGAAUCGAAGCCCCAGUAAACGGCGGCCGUAACUAUAACGGUCCUAAGGUAGCGAAAUUCCUUGUCGGGUAAGUUCCGACCCGCACGAAAGGCGUAACGAUUUGGGCACUGUCUCAACGAGAGACUCGGUGAAAUCAUAGUACCUGUGAAGAUGCAGGUUACCCGCGACAGGACGGAAAGACCCCGUGGAGCUUUACUGUAGCCUGAUAUUGAAAUUCGGCACAGCUUGUACAGGAUAGGUAGGAGCCUUUGAAACGUGAGCGCUAGCUUACGUGGAGGCGCUGGUGGGAUACUACCCUAGCUGUGUUGGCUUUCUAACCCGCACCACUUAUCGUGGUGGGAGACAGUGUCAGGCGGGCAGUUUGACUGGGGCGGUCGCCUCCUAAAAGGUAACGGAGGCGCUCAAAGGUUCCCUCAGAAUGGUUGGAAAUCAUUCAUAGAGUGUAAAGGCAUAAGGGAGCUUGACUGCGAGACCUACAAGUCGAGCAGGGUCGAAAGACGGACUUAGUGAUCCGGUGGUUCCGCAUGGAAGGGCCAUCGCUCAACGGAUAAAAGCUACCCCGGGGAUAACAGGCUUAUCUCCCCCAAGAGUUCACAUCGACGGGGAGGUUUGGCACCUCGAUGUCGGCUCAUCGCAUCCUGGGGCUGUAGUCGGUCCCAAGGGUUGGGCUGUUCGCCCAUUAAAGCGGUACGCGAGCUGGGUUCAGAACGUCGUGAGACAGUUCGGUCCCUAUCCGUCGUGGGCGUAGGAAAUUUGAGAGGAGCUGUCCUUAGUACGAGAGGACCGGGAUGGACAUACCUCUGGUGUACCAGUUGUCGUGCCAACGGCAUAGCUGGGUAGCUAUGUGUGGACGGGAUAAGUGCUGAAAGCAUCUAAGCAUGAAGCCCCCCUCAAGAUGAGAUUUCCCAACUUCGGUUAUAAGAUCCCUCAAAGAUGAUGAGGUUAAUAGGUUCGAGGUGGAAGCAUGGUGACAUGUGGAGCUGACGAAUACUAAUCGAUCGAAGACUUAAUCAA